UACGAAGGGGGCUAGCGUUGUUCGGAAUUACUGGGCGUAAAGCGCACGUAGGCGGGUCGUUAAGUCAGGGGUGAAAUCCCGGAGCUCAACUCCGGAACUGCCUUUGAUACUGGCGAUCUUGAGAUCGGAAGAGGUGAGUGGAAUUCCCAGUGUAGAGGUGAAAUUCGUAGAUAUUCGGUGGAACACCAGUGGCGAAGGCGACUCGCUGGACUGAUACUGACGCUGAGGUGCGAAAGCGUGGGGAGCAAACAGG
RNAcentral lists this ribosomal RNA (253 nucleotides) under uncultured bacterium. RNAcentral's name for it is "partial 16S ribosomal RNA". It matches the Rfam family "Bacterial small subunit ribosomal RNA", at positions 524 to 776 of the family's 1533-position model. The record is from RNAcentral.